Molecule: long non-coding RNA, 19595 nt
Filed under: Brassica napus (rape)
Lineage: Eukaryota; Viridiplantae; Streptophyta; Magnoliopsida; Brassicales; Brassicaceae
Description: long non-coding RNA (BNAP_LNC012711)
Source: RNAcentral
UUUCUUGUCCUCUUUAUUUUUCAUCACUCCUAGUUUUAAGCCCAUACUUUAAUUUCUCAAUGAUCUCUUUGUCCGUUUAAACCUCUUUAUAAUGACAUUAUACAAUUAUGUAAGUAUACAUAGAGAUCUUUUCUAUAAAAUUUGAUAUUGACAUAGUAUAAAUUAAUGUACUAAUCUAAUUUAAAGAAUGUAUCAAAUCUUUGUUUUCAAAAUAUGUUAAUUAUAGUUUUAUUUCUUUAUAGAUUUAACUGUAACUAAAUCUAUAAGAAAUCUUUUACUGGUGUUGUUAUGAAAAGUAUUUUAUAGGUAUAUCAUAUAUGUUAGAUUUUCUGAACAGAUUUUUUAUAAGUUUUAGGGGUUAGUCUUUAAUCUAAAUUAGAUUACAAUUUAUUUUUAUUUUUUGAUAAUGUAAGCUAACUUUCCCAUAAAAGUUUAUAAGUAUAAUAUUAAACUUUUUUAUAUAAUUUUUAAGAAUUACCUAGUCUAUCUUAAGUAUUUUUAAUGAUUAUUUAAUCAAAAGAAACUCUUUUUUUUUUUCUCAAAUAGUGCAAGUAUCAUCAUUGCUUUUGGACAAACCUUCUUGUUGUGUGUGUGUGUGAAAGGAGAGUCAUAGUGGAUUAAUACAACCCAAUCCAGCCGACGACUCUAAUGAGUUAAGCUCAUAAUGGGUCAAUGGUGAAAGGCCAAGCAUAUUUAUAUAGCAAAUUGGUUAAAUGGUUGAAAACAUAUAUCAAUAAAUCCGAAAAGAUGAAUUAGUCAUAUAUCUGAUCCAGAAACUGGAGUACAAAUUAAAAUUAACCCUCAGUUUUCUUUAAAUAUUACAAGUUUAUGCCACUAGCUUAAACCAUGUUUAACACUUAAAUCAAACCAUUUAAAUCUAAUUUAAAUAACUAACCAAACCGUACGUAGUAGUUAACCCAAACAAACGUCAAUUCAAUAAUAUUACUAAAACCAGAAUUAAUUAAAAAUAUUAACUAUUCAUCACCUCUUCCUUUAAGGAAUCCAAACUCUUAUAAAUUUGGAAUCACACCAAAAAUAGAAUGGCAUCUUAUUAUCGUACACUGCUCCACUAUAAAUUUUUAACCUUCGUACGGCAAACAUAAUCGUACACUGCUCCACUAUAAAUUUUUAACCUUCCUAUGGCAAACAUAAACCAUAUAAUUAUCAUAUAUUCAGUCAAUGAAAAUUCAACAAAUAAUAUAUUAUUAGUUCGUUAUUUUUCGGAUUACAAAGUGAGCAUAAAAACUAAGAAUUGUUUUUUUUUAUCAUUUGAAUAGGAUAACUCCAAUUAUUAUAAUAUAUCAAUCAUUUGGUCAAUAUCGACCAACAAACCUUUUCUAUAUCACAAGCAUUUGGUCAAUAUCGACCAACAAACCUUCUCACGAUACAAUUUGUUUAAAUAUAAUAAUAUAUAAUUAGUUAUAUGGUAAAUAUUAAAAUAUAUAUUUACUAAUUAUAAAAACAAAUAAUUAUUUUGAAUCAAAAAUAAAAAUAAACACCCGCACGGGUGUGCGGGUCGAAAUCUAGUAAUAUAUUAAACUCGCAAUGGAAUAGAACGGAUCAAAGUAUGUCGGGUGAGUCAAUUUUUACCAUAAGUAUAAGGAGUAGGAGGCGUAGAAUAUGCUUUUCUGAUUGUGUUUUAAAAUCUUAAAAUUAACUUUUGUUUAUCAAGCAAGGGAUACAAGCAAUCCGACGAUUUCAUUCAUCAGUCCAAUAGAAAACUAAACCAUUUCGACUCAAUCCACACGACGAACCAUAGAUAUUAAAUUAACUUUUGUUUAUUAUAAAUACUAAGCAUGUCAUGCCGCCGACUUUUAUUUCUUUAGAUAAAUGUAAAACUAUAGAAAUUAUAGUAACUUAGUUGGUGCUGGAGAAGGUUACGCGGAGGACGCCGUAAGUGAUGUUGUAGGUGAUGUCGUUGUUCUUGUACGCCUUGUACUUGAAGAGAAUAGAGCCGUCGUACUCCCUCGCCGCAAACUUGAAACUCAAGCCAACCGCACCAGGUUGAACUUCCUUCGCGGUAAACCGAACUUUGUUGAGAUGGAUAUCGAAUGUGUCCAACUUCGUGCAACCGGGUAUAUCGAUUUUCACCACAAUCUUCCUCUCAGUGGCCGCCUUUAUCGCAUAUGCUUUUCGGCUACCUUGUGUUACACAGGGAUUGAAAUCUAACAAACCAAAAUGUAAAUCAAUUUAACAUUUUGGAAAAAGAAAACAGAAAGAGAUUUUGACAGCAGAUCGAACUUACGCGCAGCAGGGUCAUUUACGAUAUCAUUUUCCUCCUCUAGAUCAAUCACAAAGUGAUUUGGCUCUUCAGCGGAGCUGCUGGAAAAUUCAUUUUUUUCUAGACCAGAUUUAGGGAAAAACAUUGUGUUUUUGUUUGUUUAAGAAAAGAUAUUAGUGAUAUAGAUCGAUGAAUAUGAGUAAUGCGUAUAUAUAUAGGAUUUUGGUACAUACAAUUUAAUGCUUUUUUUCCUUUUCAUUUUGUUAUUAAGAUUUUGCUAAUUCAGAAAUUUUUAUGAUUAACAUGGCAGGUACACUUGGUUUAAUUUGAUUGGUAGGUAUAUUUGGAAUCAUGUGGUUAUUACGUUUGAGUUUAAUUUGAUUGGUUCAAUGCUCAACAACAUGUUAUUUUAUUUUCAUGCAACGUUUUUGUUUAAUGUAUUUUUAUUGGUUCGUGUACUCAUAUUUCCUUUUUGGUCUUUGCCUACGUACAUGUUCAGAGUCUUCAGACCUUCUUCUCGAUUUGGCUUUCCCUUUUCUUUUUUUUUUUGUGUGAGUGAGAGAGAGUUUAAGUAUAUAUGAACAUUUUAGUAAUACCUACAAACAUAAAUUAUGAAUGUUUAACCAACUCUUCAAACCUUCUUCUUGAUUUGGUUUUCCCUUUUCUUUUUUUGUGUGUGUGACAGAGAGUCUCAGUAUAAAUGAACAUUUUAGUAAUACCUACAACAUAAAUUAGAAUGUGCUUUAACCAACUCUUCGAACCUUCUUCUCGAUUUGGUUUCCCUUUUCUUUUUGUGUGUGUGUGACAGAGAGUCUCAGUAUAUAUGAACAUUUUAGUAAUACCUACAACAUAAAUUAGAAUGCGCUUUAACCAACUCUUCGAACCUUCUUCUCGAUUUGGUUUUCCCUUUUCUUUUUGUGUGUGUGUGUGUGUGUGAGAGACUUUCAGUAUGAACAUUUUUAGUAAUUCCUACAAACACAAGUUAUGAAUGCACUUUAACCAACUGUUUUCUUGCAACUCCAAGCCCUCAACAACCUGUCUUGGUUUUUGUAAGAAUGAAGACUUGUAGUUGGUACUAGAUAUAUAGUUCUACUAUAUAUAAAUGUACCCCGAAAACUCAUUUUCACUCAUCUCUCUAUCAUAGCAUAUAGCAUCCUCAAAGAAAAAACAAAAGGAAAACUUCUCAAAAUGAGUACUAUCACGGUUGAAGUGCCGGAUCAUCUAGUAUUGAUUUGCAGGACAACCAACUGACGACGUGUAAGUUCUCAUUUUCUCUUAGGACGAGCUAUUGAUUUUGACCCGACCGUUGCAUCGUACACGCUGAUCAACCAGCUUCACACAUUUUACGCUUUUUAUGAAUACAUCAAACCGUUUGUAAAUUUCUUUUGAUUCGAGUAAAAAUGGAGAAUACGUUUUCCUUAAUGCGAUCGUCUCACCAAUCAUGCAUUUUCAUUCACCCUCUUUUUCUUUUUUUUUUUUCCUUUUUUUUUUCCAAACUAAGAGAACGAGAAGAUCAUCACAUGUCCUCUGAGUUUUCGCGUUUUCGAUCCAUAAAAGUUGAAGGGCUCAUCAUGAAAAUAAAUAAAAGUUGAACAGUAAACGACUUGUCCUCUGAGUUAUAGUAUUUUAGAUCCAUUAACAUAUUAUAUACAUCAAAAGGCUCAUCAUGAAAAGACAUAAAAGUUGAAGCUAAGUUGCAUGUAAUUCAUACGUAUACAGUAAACGACUUGUAACGUUUAUAAUAUAAAUAAUUAUGGCAGGUGAGAAUCCCUUCGUCAAAAGCGGGUGUAAAGGGAUGAUAGAGAUUAUGAAGGGAAAUGGGAUUAUGCUUCGGAUUGACCUCCCGGGGAGCAGGCUUAGGAUUGAUCUCCCUGGGAAUGAUUUGGAAUUCACCAAAGAAGGGGGAAGGCUAAUGCUCACUGCCACCGAAGAUAACGACGUGGACUUCACCCCCCGCACAUAUCGUAUCGAGGUUGUCUACGACCCGGCCCAUAAAAAAGUUAACGUUAUCGGCGGCGGCAGCACCAACGGUGUGAUGUGGAUCCAUUUUAACAUAUAAAGUUUGAUUAAAUUCUAUGUUCGAUGAUAUCAUCUAUUUACAAAUAAAAAAAGAGAGUGUGAAAAUAGUUUGCUUAAUUACUUUGUGCCAAGGAUGAGCCUUGUGAAUUCAGUGUAGUUUGGAUUCAUGCAGUUGAUUUCCUCUCGAGUUGGUGUUCCAAGAACCUAUAAACACACAAUAAGAAAUAGUAACUGCAUGUAAUCAAUGGAUUUAACAUGAUUACCAAAAAAAAACUUUAUUAUUAUUGUUAUUAUUUUCUUUAGUGUUCUAAAUUAUGAGAACAUAUUCUCAUGGGAUGAGUGAGAGAACAUCAUUACCUGAUAUGUAUAGAGUUUGACGUAUAUCAUGGGCAUCCUCUGGUUAGCCCGACUGUAAUGCUUUGAGACGCGAUAGACAGUCUCAGGAAAGUAUUCAAGGACCAAAUUGAGAUACAACUCAUCUUUCUUGGUCGUUGAGAAAAAGCAAUGCUUGAGGGACACAACAUUAGAGCAAUUACAACAGUUUCUGUUGUUUCUAAAGACUCUGCCUGUGUACAAGUAACAAGACCCAUGAAACAAAGUUAACGAACUUUGAGUCUUUGCACCAAUCUCUCCGCUCAGUAAAAUCAACUAUUAAAUGUAUGUAAUCAAAACACCACCUGAAAAACGAUUCCAAAUGAACCUUGUCCAACGAUGCGGUCUUCCAUGUAACUUAAUUAUGGUCUGAAAAACAAAAAACCUAUCAGAGAUUUUAAUUUUAAAUAAAAAAAAUUAGACACUACCGCAACUGCAAGUUCUUUAAUUUUAAAUGAUCUUUCUCUCAAGUUUCUAAUAAACAGUGUUUUAGGCUGACCAUUUUUACCACCAAUUAAUGAAUAAAGGUACAAUUUAAACACUUAACUAACAAAUAUAUUUACAAUUAACUUUGAACAAUAUAAAUAGUUACAUAUUUUUAUUUUUUGUUCUAAGUUAAUGUAAAAAUUUAUAUAUUUACAAUUCAAUUACUAGUUUAUCAUUUUCAUUAAUAGUGAAUAUAUAAUAGAAUUGAAAAUGUACAUUAUAAUAUGUCAUAAUAAAAAUUAAAACAUGUCAUCAUUUUCUCUUCUCAUAGUAAAAAUGAGCAUGAGGCAUAACCAAAAUGGGAUUUUCCUUAAUUUAUAUUUGAAGGUCUGCGACUUCCGAGUCCACGGCGUUUCCCUAUCGUACUCAGAAGCUCCUACGUUUUCGCCGACGCGUGAUUCGCCGGUAAAAAUUGCUAACGAAUUGAGAUCUUUCUGAGAGUGAGAUCGUGUUUUAUUGUUGUUAACGGUAAAUUGCUCGAAGCUCGAAAUGUAGAUCUAUGCCGUAUUCCUCUGUUGAAUCGUUCCGCUUUGAUCUUAUUUCAGCAGUCUGUGAAGUUGACAAGUAGACUUACUCCGAUAGAUUCUUAAUCUGAUGUUUUUUUCCGGUGUGAGUUAGGCUUUAUUCACUUGAAUUCAUCGAGAUCUGUGUGAAAUUUCGAGGAUCUAUUGUUAGGUUGAUGAGCUAGAACUCAGUCUCAGUCUAGGCUUAGUGUGAAUGUAUUACUACGAAGAUUCAGUAUCCUCUAAGCUGUGUGUGUGAAGAAAUUAGAGAAUGUGUUUGUGCAAAGUAGAUUAUUAAUCUUCCAUUGAUUAAUAACUAUUCUUAGGUGACUUAUUUCUACUUUUUUCACGCAGGUAACUUCACAUAUGGCCAGUAAUACGUUAAAAGAUUUGAAUACUCUUUCCUUUAACUGAGAAGAUGAGUGAAUGUAAACCAAUUUUAGCCAAGCCUUGUGUUGGCAAAAUGAAUGGACCAUUACCAAGCUCUGUUGCUUUGCCUCCUAGCGUUGGAGAAUCAGAGAAGCCCGAGGCAGAGAAAGCUGCUACCGUGGAAGUUGAAUACAUUGAGUCCGAGAACUUGGAUAACGUAGACGAUGCUGAUGCAGUUCUCAAGGUAUUUUUUUUUUUCCUGUUUGUUGCUUAUGUGUUAUGGUUUCAUCAAAUCUCAUUUUUCAUUAGUAUAACCCAUAGGUUAUUAUAACUGUGAUAUGAAGCUGUUUACUGGUGUAUCUAUGUAUUUAGAGAUUGGAAGUAUGAUUUUUUUUUUUUUUUUAUGCAAGACGAAUCAGUUUGAUUGAUCUCAUUUUUUUUUCUUUCAGUCGGUUCUAGCUGGUCUGGACUCAAAGGAUUGGGUAUCUGUCUGUGAUGCUCUUAAUAACGUUCGUCGCCUUUCGAUAUUCCACAAGGAAGCAAUGCUGCAUCUGCUGUAAGCCUUUUUCUCUUUAUUAUCUCUUAGAGUAGAUUGUAAAAUGGAAGUUUCAUGAUGAUAUCCCAUUUCACAGCGAGAAAGUGAUCCCACUCGUCGUGAAAUCACUGAAAAAUCCAAGAAGUGCGGUGUGUAAAACGGCGUGCAUGACGUCUGCAGACAUCUUCAGUGCAUACAACGACCAUAUAACAGAUCUGUUGGAUUCUCUGGUAGCUCUUUAUUCAUUCUCUUUAUUGUGUUCGUUGAUUGGAUUUUACUUGUUGUUCUUACAAACGUUUCAUACUCUCUCAGCUUACUCAACUCCUCCUCAAGUCUUCGCAAGAUAAAAGGUUUGUCUGCGAGGCAGCAGAGAAGGCUUUAACAUCAAUGACCAAAUACGUUUCCCCAACUUUGCUGUUACCAAAGCUGCAACCCUGUCUCAAGAACAGGAAUCCUCGGAUCCGUGCAAAAGCAUCGUUAUGCUUUUCCCGAAGUGUACCUCGACUGGUAAUACAAGCUCCUUUCCAGAUAUAUCUCUAAGGCAUCACGUGUUAUGUAACAAUUCAAACAACUCAUUGGAUUAUGCUAUACAUGUUCCAGGGCGUGGAAGGUAUUAAAAAGUAUGGAAUCGACAAAUUAGUUCAAGCAGCUGCGUCUCAGCUUAGUGAUCAGCUCCCUGAAUCUCGGGAGGCUGCGCGGACUGUCCUACUAGAGCUUCAGACCGUGUACGAAAAAUCUCAUCCUCUCAUCAAACCAGAGACAUCGUCAUCAUCAUCGCCAGAGGAAGAGCAAAUCUCAGAGGCAGAGCCAAUUACAUGGGAAAUCUUCUGCCAGUCAAAGCUGUCCGCUCUAAGCGCACAAGCCGUUCUUCGUGUCACCAAUGUUGUGGCAAUGCCUGCUAGGGAGGGGAUGGUUACUACAGGUUCAUCUUCUACAUCAUAGUUAUAAGCCUUCUCUACUACAUUUUCAUUUUUUUUAAAAGUUUGCUACGGAUCAUACGGUUACAUGGGAUUCUCCGGCCAUGAUCAACCAAAUUGGCAAAUUAUGGACCGGUAAAGAGAGUGAAAAUCGGUUAUUAAAAAUCUUUAUUAUUUUUCUGGUUGCGAGUCUUCUUUUGUCUCGAGUCUUCAUCAGUGUUUUGCAUCUAUUUUUUUUUUUUUUUCUUUUCUUAUGUGUAUAUAUUCAUACCAAUGUUUGGUUAGAUAGUCCGAGUAUUUUGUUUUAAUGCAAUUUGGUCGUACCCUGUGACGAUUCAAGUCUGAUUCUUCGCAACAUUAUUGUUUUUUACUUUUUGUAUAUAUGCAUCUUCCUUGUCGGAGUUUUUUCCCUAGAUUAAGCCUUGACUAAUUGUAUUAGAUAGUUUAGCUAAGUCAAUCCACCUUAGUCAUUUACAAGCUUCCAACCCGAGUUUGGAUCCACCCACCCAACACCGGAAGUUGACUUUUAUUAGAAAUAAGAACAAUAUAGAGUCAAAAUACAUAGCUUUCACCUCUACCAAGGAGGGUGAAACAAUAAGGGCAACAUUCUCUAAUAAUUCAGCUCUGCGAGAGCUCGCGGCUUCGAUUAGCUGCAGCAACAACAGCAUUCAUAAGUGUUGCACGGAAAGAACCCUUCUCUAGUUCAUGAACUCCGGCUAUAGUAGUUCCGCCUGGUGAAGUAACAUCAUCUUUCAACACACCUGGAUGCUUCCCUGUCUUGCUCACCAUGGUUGCAGCUCCAAGAACCUGCCAGAGACCAACACCUCAGUUAUUCAAUACCACACAAACAAGAAAAGAAAAUGAAUAAAGAAGCUGUAUGGGUCUGUUCACUGACCGUUUGUGAAGCUAAGCCAAGUGCGAGUUCUCGGGGUAAACCAGCAGCUACUCCCCCAUCAGCUAAAGCUUCAAUGGCUAAGAAUAUGUAUGCUGGUCCACUUCCACUGUAUGGUGUGCAUGGUUAGUUGAUUAGUGGGCGACUUGAACAACUUAAGCAUUGAGAAACCGUUACGUACCUGAGACCAGUAACAGCAUCAAACAUUUUCUCAUCGGCUUUAAACAUCUUCCCCACCGAGCCAAACAACUUAGCAACAAGUGCUCCAUCUUCUUCACUUGCCGCUGUUCCGAGGCUCAUUACUGUUUUACACAAAGACAUAAUUUUCAGCAACCGUAUGCAUAUCAUAAUUUCAAAGAGAAAAGCAACCACACGCAAUUUCAGAAGAAGAAGAAAAAAAACACAAAUAGGGACUCUUAGAGAAACGACCUGAAGCUCCCUCACCAACUGCUGCUGGUGUGUUAGGCAUCACCCUUAUGAACCGAUCUUGGCCAGACCAUUCCUAGCAUGAAAGGAAAAAAAAAAGAAGAAGAGAUCUUUCAGCGUUUCAACCAAAAACGGAAGUCUAGAAACUAACACUGCAACGCCAUUGAUAGUGAUAAUAACCAUUUGUUUCUAUACAAAAGAAUGCAAACCUGUAGAUCUUUCAGCGUAAUUCCAGCUGCAACUGAAACCAGAAGCUUAUCCUUCGUGAGCUUAGACCUUAACUCCGUGAUGGCCUUCUUAACUGCAAUACAACAGGCACAGCUUUAAAUCAGUACAAAGAUAUUCCCCAACUGUAAUUCAUAGAUCAUAGAUCUUAAACAGCUUUCUUUUAAUUCGGUCGUGAUUCGACAGAGAGGUAGACAAACAUACCAACUUGAGGUUUCACAGAGAAAAUCACAACAUCGCUUUCUUCAACGACCUGUCCAUUAUUGAAGAUGGUCAGUUUAACACGGCGACAACGUACCACUAACGUUCAUGAUAGUUGUAUAGACAAAGUUAAAGAGAGAGAUCGGCUUACUUCUUCAUUACUGGAGAAGACAUUGACGCCAAAGGAUUGGAAGACUUCAUGGCGAUCGGGAUUCGAGUGAACGGCGGUUGAGAUAUGAUGCGGAGGAAGCACACCAGAGGCGACGAUACCUCUGGCUAUGCUCUCCGCCAUCUUUCCAGCUCCGAUGAACCCAACCGUCAAGUACUCCAUCGGUAUCUGAUGUUUCUCCAUCGGAAAGUAACGGAUUUGGGUUGCCACUGGUUUCAAGUUAAAAGUGACAAAGUGUUGAAGCGUGCACGUGCACAUCACGUGGCCCAUUCGCUUACCAAGGCCCAAUAAAACACAAAAGAUACAAACUUAUAAGAAACGGCCCGCUUUAAAAAUUAUACAAUCGUGUCGUUCAUGCAAAGAACAGUAGAACAUCAUGGCGUAUUUUUUCUGUCUAAACCAACCGAGAAAACGACACGAACACCUUAAAUCAGAGUCUUGUACACAAGCAGAGCUGGGAAUUUUGGUCAUUACCCGCGGGUCCCGCCCCGUCUGAUCCGCCGCGGGGCGGGUAAGGGUCGAUCGAUUUACAAAUUUCAGCAUGCGGAUGCGGGUGAGGGUUGAGUCGAUUUUUAGCGGGGCGGGUGCGGGUCAACCAAAUUUGAGUCGCGGNNNNNNNNNNNNNNNNNNNNNNNNNNNNNNNNNNNNNNNNNNNNNNNNNNNNNNNNNNNNNNNNNNNNNNNNNNNNNNNNNNNNNNNNNNNNNNNNNNNNNNNNNNNNNNNNNNNNNNNNNNNNNNNNNNNNNNNNNNNNNNNNNNNNNNNNNNNNNNNNNNNNNNNNNNNNNNNNNNNNNNNNNNNNNNNNNNNNNNNNNNNNNNNNNNNNNNNNNNNNNNNNNNNNNNNNNNNNNNNNNNNNNNNNNNNNNNNNNNNNNNNNNNNNNNNNNNNNNNNNNNNNNNNNNNNNNNNNNNNNNNNNNNNNNNNNNNNNNNNNNNNNNNNNNNNNNNNNNNNNNNNNNNNNNNNNNNNNNNNNNNNNNNNNNNNNNNNNNNNNNNNNNNNNNNNNNNNNNNNNNNNNNNNNNNNNNNNNNNNNNNNNNNNNNNNNNNNNNNNNNNNNNNNNNNNNNNNNNNNNNNNNNNNNNNNNNNNNNNNNNNNNNNNNNNNNNNNNNNNNNNNNNNNNNNNNNNNNNNNNNNNNNNNNNNNNNNNNNNNNNNNNNNUUUAUUAAAUUUAAUAUUAUCUGCGGGCCCCGCGGGUUACCCGCAAUCUUAGCGGGGCGGGUGCGGGUUUACGAUUUUUCUUUCGCGGGUUAUGCGGGUCGGAAUUUUGAGUUUAAAAAACAGAGUCGAUCCGCGGGUUGGCGGGUCAUGCGGGGCGGAUUGACCCGCGAACCCAGCCCUAUUUUUGACACCAAGCAAAAGGGUUACAAUUCUUCAUUAUUUUCUUUUCUCUUUGAUUUUCUUUUGAGUAUGAGAAUAUACACAAAAUUAGAUUCGUCAGGUUUAUGAUAGAGUGACGCAAAUCAGAAGAUUUUUGCAGUUGUAUCCUGGGACUCAUUAGGUUAUCGAAUCGUCGCAUUACGGAACGUAUUUUGAGUUAAGGAAAGAGAUAAUAUCUUGACUCUGCAGUUAUAUCAUUUUUUUUAAUCUUUGGUAUAAUCUUAUCAUAUUCUUUACAAUAAUCAGCUUAGUUUAUAUAAUAUGUUAGUUUAUAUAAUAUGGUUCUAACGGUUUGGAUUAGUUCACUGUUUAGCUAUACACAUAUACAGACUACAGUAGUAUGCUAAGAAAAGGCCUAAUAUAGAAUAAGUAAUCACGUACACUACUAAUACUGUUUUUUCAAUGUAUGAAAUCUAUGAAAACGUCAAAAUUUCAUUUCCGGCAUUAUUUUUUCUAAUCAAAUACAGUAUUGCUGAAUAACAUAUGAGUUAUUAGAAAUUUUUUAUUCCAUCUUUUAUUUGAAUUAUUGAAUUAAAUAACGAGCUAGUUAAUAGUAUCCUCCAUGAGGUUUGACAAGAAUUAACUUCUAGAAAGAAAGAAAAAAUGUGUAUACGACAAAAUUUUGCGUAACGCCUUGAUGCAAUGCAACAAGUUUCGUCUCUAUUUUCCUAAGACGCUCAGUUUAGGAGAAGGACACAUGGCCAAACACGACUAACGAGGACGGCUUGUUUACAAAAUUUAGUCUGUAACGCUUAUCCUUCUCCUGAAUCCAUGAACCAUGCAUUAAAUAUAGUAUCACAUACUGACAUACGCCUCAUAUAUAAAUAACACUUGCAAACACACAUGUAUUUGUUUUGUAACGUAAAAUGUUUUUUCUUGUUGUUUAGCUUAGAGCAUUUACAGUAGAUAAUAAAAUGAUAAAAUUUAUAUUAAAGUAAGCAAGGAAUCAUAAAAUUGAAUCUAUUGUAGGAUGAUAUUACUAGGUAAGAGUUGUAUUAGUUUCCGAGUGAAAUGAUAUCAACUAUAAGAGGCAAAUUUGAAUAAGUGGAGAUUUCUUGUUCUUCAGUUUGUUCCUUAAUUUAUUAUUUUAGCAGGGUUUCUAGAGUAAAAUUUAUCACGCUAUGGACUUUUAUUACCAGAGAAACUGAUACGAAACACGUGUCCAAAAAGCUGUAAAUGAAUGAAAGAAAACGUUUGCCUGGUACAGUCUUAACUCUUUAAUAUUACUCCCAUAUUUAUCACUUAAUGUGUUAACACUGUUUUUUAAAAGUGCAUAUAUUAAUAAAUCAUUUAGGAUCUGAAUGGUUUACGAACCACACCGCCGUUAACCAGUAACAAAAAUCUCUAAAUAUGCAUACAUAUUUAUAUGUUUUUAUGACUAUUAGAACCACAGCGCAAUUGUUCCGCAAUUUAUAUGUUACCACUGGAACUCUUAGUAAAGUUUGGGUGACUGUAUCAAGAGUAUCUCCGAUCUAAAACUUUAUUUUUCGUAUUUCUAUAAUGAAGUUGUGUUUAUUCAUAUUUUAUUAUAUUUUGGAGUAAAAAAUAGGGCGAUGAACAAAAAACAAAACUGUUACUUCAUUUAUGGAGUAAAUCCAUGCUUAUUCAAUUAUGAAAUAAAAAAUAGAAUGAAAUUAAUUAUUUCUUACUUAAAUUAUAUUUUAAAGUAAAUUACGAAGUUGAGGUGGAACACAUCAUUAAAACAUAUAUCAAUUUAGGUGCCACAUUUUCAAUGUUUCAUUUUUUAUUUGCAAACAUGUAAAUUUCUAUGUUCAUUUUCUUGAGUUCAUAGCUUCAAGCCUUCACUUCAUAUGUUUUUACUUUUCACUAAACAAAGGCAGUUCAGAUCUAGUCUACAAUGAAUUGAUUUUUUUUCCUACAAUGAUUAUUUUCUGUGUGCUGUUUUAUUACCUGUCUAACCGCUGAUUCCAUCGAAAGAAUGCUCUGAUGUCCUCUUUUUUUAUCAGCAAAAUAACUAAAGAAACAUCCAUAUGGAAUGUUACAAUGAAAAAUUACUUUCUGAAGUUCAAGUCAUAAAACAAUAACUAGCUACAUGCAUGUUGGAACCAUAAAAACAAUGACAUUCAAGUUAAAAAAAAAUGUUUUCUACGACUAUACUAAUAUUUACUUUCUUGAACCAUAAGUCAAAAACGUAAUAACUAUUUUUGGAAACAGAAUCAAGUAAAAGUCAGUCGGCCCUAUAAAUAGACUUGUAAAAAUCAACGUAAAGAAAACAAAAACUAUGGCAGUUUCAUCACCUCAUCACGUGGUUCUCUGCCCUUACAUGUCAAAGGGCCACACCAUCCCUCUCCUCCAAUUCGCCCGUCUCCUCCUCCUCCGUCACCGCCGUGUCAUCUCCCCCUGUGACCAAAGCAAAGAACCAACCAUUUCCAUCACCGUCUUCACCACACCACAAAACCACCCCUUCAUCUCAAACUUCCUCUCCGACGUCUCAUCAUCCACCAAAAUAAUCUCCCUCCCUUUCCCGGAAAACAUCGCCGGUAUCCCUCCCGGCGUCGAGACCACCGACAAGCUCCCUUCCAUGUCGCUCUUCGUGCCCUUCACGCGCGCAACAAAGUCUCUCCAGACUCUCUUCGAAGAAACACUCAAGAAUCUUCCACACGUUUCUUUCAUCGUCGCCGAUGGGUUCCUCUGGUGGACGCUGGACUCCGCCGCUAAGCUCGGUAUCCCGAGCCUCGCGUUCUACGGCAUGAACAACUACGCGUCAGCUCUCUUCUCCUCCGUAUACGUACACCAACUCUUUACUAAACAGGAAAUUAUUAAAUCCGAAACCGAACCGGUUACUGUACCGGAUUUCCCAUGGAUAUCGGUUAAGAAGUGUGAGUUCUCACCUAUUUUUACCCACCCGGAUAGAUCGGGUCCAGAGUUUGAGCUAUUCAUGGACCAGAUAGUGUCCACGGGGAAAAGCCGUGGAGUCAUAGUUAACAGUUUUUACGAGCUCGAAUCAACGUUCGUUGACUUCCGGCUCCGUGAUAGCGAUGGCCCCAAACCGUGGUAUAUUGGACCUUUGUGUUUGGUGAAUCCAGAUAAACCGGAAAGUGAUAAACCGAGUUGGAUUCAUUGGUUGGACCGGAAACAAGAGGACAAAUGUCCGGUUUUAUAUUUGGCGUUUGGAACGCAGACGGAGAUUUCAAAAGAGCAGCUCAAGGAAAUAGCAUUAGGGUUAGAAGAUUCCAAGGUACGUAUGUAUAACCGUCGAUGCCAAAAUAUGAAUAACUAAUGGUUACAAAAAGUAUUAUAUCAUGUUCUAAUAAUAAUUUACUAGUAGAUGCUAAAAAAAUAAUAUUUACAAGUAUAUUGUACUCCCUCUGUUCCUGAAAGUAAGAUUUUCUAGAGUAUACACGCUUAUUAAGAAUUUAAUAAAUGUUUAUAAUUUAAUUUAUUUUUUACUUGAUUAUACACUUUCCAAUAACUUUCCACCAAUGAAAUUUAAUCAAUUCAAAUAUUCUCAAUUAAUGUUCCUCAAAAGUAUAAAAAAAAUAUUUUAACAAUAUAGAAAAUCUAUCUUUGUGGAACAGGAAAAAAUCUAAAACAUUUUACUUUCAGGAACAAUUUAAUAUUUCUGAAUGCGAAAAACAUACUAGUGGUUGACAUUAACUGUCACCGUUGUAUUCAUUAAUGCAUGUAUGGACAGAACAUGCAUUAUUUUGUUAAUUUACGUGGCCUUUGAUUGAUUAAUGCAAAGGUUAACUUCUUGUGGGUCACGAGAGUGGACGUGGAGGAAUUGACUGGAGAAUUAGGGUUCGAAAAGAGAGUGAAAGAUCAUGGGAUGAUUGUGAGAGAUUGGGUGGAUCAAUGGGAGAUAUUGUCACAUGAAAGUGUCAAAGGGUUUUUGAGUCAUUGCGGAUGGAACUCGGCGCAAGAGAGUAUUUGCACUGGAGUUCCGUUGCUGGCUUGGCCAAUGAUGGCUGAACAGCCACUCAAUGCGAAGUUGGUAGUGGAAGAGCUAAAGGUUGGUGUAAGGAUCGAAACGGUAGAUGGAAGUGUGGAAGGGCUAGUGACAAGAGAAGAACUUAGUCGAAAGGUAUACAUAUCAAAUUGUUUUCAAUGAAUUUAAUAUUAGAUUAUGGCACUAAUUAUACUUGUCUUUAACUAUUUCAUUUUUUAUUUGUACCAUUUUAGGUUAAAGAGUUAAUGGAUGGAGAUAUGGGGAAGACUGUGAGGAAGAAUGUGAAAGAAUAUGCAGAAAUGGCGAAAGAAGCUUUGGCUCAAGGGACUGGUUCGUCUUGGAAGAAUUUAAAUUCACUCCUUGAAAAACUGUGUGUGAGUAGAGAGACUAAUGAUGUUAAUAAAUUGUCAAGCGAUAACUAGAGAGAUUUAGCAGCGCUAGACAACCAAACCUGAUUGUACCAUGGUGCUCAUUACUCAUUAAUUAGAACGUAAUUUGGUUUGGUAUGGGACUUGUUCAUAGUAAUAACGUUAUGAUCUUUUUCAAUUCACAGUAAUGACACUACAAAGCGGUGGGGUUUAUGAGCCUUGUCAGUUGUCACAGUAAUAACGUUAUGAUCUAUUUCAAUUCACAGAAAUAUCAGGAGAGAUUGAGAAAGCCUUUUUUGCUAAUAAGCUAAAACAUGUAGCGAUUUACGUUCCAUAAUGCCGGUCCAACAUUUUCAAAAUUUUCUUGAUGCCCCAAACUCACUUAAAAUUUCAUAUCCUUGUUAUUCAUGCAAAUUUUUUUAAUAAUACCUCCUUAUAUACAACUAAAAUUAUCGGUUAAAAUCAUGAUGUCCUAAACAUUCGGUUCAUUUGCCAAUGCUCCAGACCGGCCAUGAGUUCCACCAUUCAUCCAAAAGAUGGAGAUGUUGCCAUGGAAGGUCUUAAUUAUGUCUCAGCCGUGAUUGACACUAACUAUACAGCCCCAGAAUACGUUGUCCCUUCCUACCAUAAAGUUGUUAAUGUUGAUAUUGAUGUUCAACAAAAUCCCACAAUGUCCACUCUACUCUUAACCAGCUGAGGUGUAUGUGUGGGCUUUUACUUCAGAUGGCCCAACUACUUAACACGCUUCGACCCAUUUAGUGGAGUCGUGUCGUUUUGAGGCCCAGCUUUGGAAUUUCUCGAGGGUGUUUAUGUCUUUGGACAUGCGGGUGGAUAAUGUGAGCAUAGAGAAACAGAGUAACCUUAUCGAGUGAAGAAGAUUGGGUUAGUAGUAGUAAGCAAAAAUGGCGUCGAUUGCAGCAUCUCCUAGCUUUCACUCGCUUUCAACAUUCAAAAGCCCUAACCUUUCUUCGACCCAUCUUCUUCCUCUAUCGAAAAACCUCACCUUUCGAACCAGACCCAUCGGGAACAGCAGAGUUUGCAGCUUUUCUGCGUUUACGAAACAGAGCCGCCUUGGGUUGAUGAAGCUUUCGUGCCUUGGAGAAGGAGGAGGAGAAGACGGCGUUGCAAUUGCAGAUGAAGAGCAACAACAACAACAACAGCAAGAGACUGUCUCUGUUCCUGUCUCUCCUUCAGACAUGCUCACCAUGUUCUUUCAGGUACAUUGUUAUAUAAGAGCUUAGAAACGAAUAUUAAUGCACAGCCGUAUUUAAAUUGCCUUGAGGAUCAUGCUAAGUACUACACUCUUGCAAUUUCAAGUGUGGCCUCAUAUUGAGUCUGACCAUUGUUGGCUUUUUUUGGGGGUUGAUUCCGAAGGCUGAUGGAACUUUGAACGAAGCAGCUAUUCCUAAUGUCACAAAGGCCUUACAGGUAAAAUGCUUUGCAAGAAGAUCUCUCACUGAACUAGCGAAUCUGUUCAGAGCUAGAGGAGAAUCUUUGUUGAAUGCAUCUGUUUCUCUUCUGUUUCUUGGCUUAUAUAAAACCAUUUUGGUUACUUGUUUAGAUUCACUCCAAUCUCUGUGUUCACUUUACUCUUGAUGUCUUCUAGCUCUUCCUUAACUCCAAGUUUAGAUUUUAAUAGCACUGAAUAAAGGCAAAUAUCAAAUCGUGUUUGUUCUCUCAGGACAUAGAUGGAGUUUCCAACUUAAAAGUUCAAGUUUCUGAAGGUGUUGCCGUUGUUGAGGUAUGUCCACAUCCAACAUUCUCUUGAUACAUUGCCUUUACAUGCCUAAGCAGUAAGCACACACAAGGAUAGACUUUGAAUAUGUAUGGCAAUGGCAUAGAUGUAUGCUGAGUAUGGGGUUUUGUUUUAGAUAUUAGUAGUGGUUAACCACGGGAUUAGUCUUCAGGGCCGCAUAAGAAAGUUGGAUCGGGCCUGAACCUUGAAAAGCUGAGGGCUUUUUAUAGGAAUAGUUAUGUUAUGGCUGCAUGAAAAUCAGAACAUCUCUGUGUUUAAUGUUUGGAUUAGACUAUGGAAUCUGACUUGUGUUAUGUUAUAUGUGUGUGUAUUUGAAGCUUUCAAAGCAAACAACGGUUCAAGCAACAGGAGUGGCGUCAAGCUUGGUGGAGACUAUACAAGGAGCUGGCUUUAAGUUACAAACUUUGAAUCUGAGCUUUGAAGACGAAGACGAGGUUCUUGUCUAAUAAUUGAAUCAUGUUUCUCCUGCUCCAUUUUGUGAUUAAAGCAAACACAUUAAUGUUCAAUGUUAGGAUCACUUUCUUUAAUUCAUUUGUUCCUCGCAAGAAGACAACGUAGUAGAUUAGAAAAAGUGGGAAUUUAAUAUUUUCGUUUGCUUAAAAGAAGAAAUAUAAAAACAAGAAAAUAUAAUAAUUCAUAUGUCAGAAUGGGUUCCCACAAAGCAUGGAGGUUUAGAAUUUUAUAGACUUUUGGGUUCCAUGCUUUAAACAAUGCAUGUGGUUGUGUGUCAGUGUGUACAUAGUAAAAUAUAUAGUGAAUUACAGCUCAAACAUUGUUGUACUUGCAUCUCUCGUAAUGAUACAUUUCUGUAUCUUUUUCUAUUAGUUGUACAUUGCAUUUUAUAGUUUAUGAUGUCGUAAAAUCUAUUUUAUCACAUACAAUAACAGUUUUAAAAGGUAUGAUUAAGAAGAAGAAAGCAUUCAUUCCUGAAAUUAUUUUUGUAAUCACGCACGACCCUAUAAUGAUAAAAUCUUUACGCGUGUCGACUUCGCUAUAAUUAACUGUUACCUUGUUUCCGAUUUAUUAGAAAAAAGUUAAUCGAAACAAUGUAAAUGACCCAUGUGCUCUGGUCCAUCUUUGAUUUGAUAACACUUCAGAUUUUUAUAAGGACAUGUAAAAGCAUACUAUAACGUAGAUAUUUGAAAUCACUUUGCUGCAUGUUAGCAAAGCUAGAUAAAACGACAAGGGGUUUUUCACUGGUGCAAUAAUAUAAGCGACACAGCUUUAUGGGCAAAUUGAAUGCUAUUUACUGUUUAUCCUAAAAACAAGUUUAUUAAUGUCAAAUUGCCUUCCACUGGUUUCUUGGGGUACGCAAACAUAUCCCAAUAUUUUCACCAUAGUUCAUAGAGUUAAUAAAAUUAAUUAUUUGUAUUGGUAAAAGUACUCCAAGUUGCUACACGAAUAAAAAGGAAAGUUCACCUAUUACUCCUUCCGUUUUUUUAUAUAAUUCGUUUUAAAAUUUUACACAUAAAUUAAAAAAACAUUAAUUUUUUAUAUUUUCUAAACAAAAAUAUUAUUAAUUAUUUAUCUAACUACAAAUUAACCAAUAAUAAAAUAGAAAGUAUAUUAUCAUUGGUCAUAUAAUAUUAAAUAUUAAUAAAUUUUACAUAGAAAAUCAAAAAUGUUAUAUAAUUCAAAACAUAUUUUUUUAUUUAAAACGAUUUAUAUUAAAAAACUGACGAGUAUGAUAAAUUAUCCUUUUCAUGUACUAUUUAUUAUCUAUACAACCCAUUUUGGGAAUCUGAUAUGUUGUUCCUCGGGGUCUGAGAAAUUAUGAUGCAGUGAAAGUUCAAAGCUGGCAUCCAUAUACAAUAACUACUCUGGGCCUAGCACUUGGUAUGGAUUAAAAUUAUUUCUUUGUAUUUUAUGGAUAAUAACAGGAAUUAAUAUUAUUUUAAUGAAAGAACUUCUAUUUAUAGCACAAAAGGCCAUUGCUCUUCAACAUGAGACUUCAUCACUUCCUCACCUCACACAGAAUGGCUCUCUCGCUUCUUUUAGUCUUCACCUUUCUUCAAGUCUUUACCAAUGUAAGUUAUUAGUAAUUUUAAUGUUUUCAAUUCUAUUUAGUGUGUGAAAGACUAGAAAUAGACCUCAAAUAGUAUCUAUUUACCCGCAUUAUGUGUUUGUACAUUUCAACUAACUAUAUAUUUUGAUUAAUCACCGAGCAGGUUGUUUCUGCUGCUUCAAAAGAGGAGUCCAAUGCAUUAGUAUGUUUCUAAAUUUCUUAUUUCCGCUCUAACUAUUUAAAUGUGUAUACUCUAAGCAUUGGUUAGGCUAAUAUACUAUUUAUUACAUAAUAAAGGUAAAACUGCUUUUCUAAAAAAAAAGGUUUUUAAACUUGGUAUUCCAAUGCAAUUGACAGGUUUCUUUACCUACGUCACCGACGUCCCCGGCAAUCAAACCACCGUCUCCGUCAUACAAGCCACCAUCAUUUCCUACUACUCCGAUUAAACCACCGACCAUUACACCACCAGUCAAACCCCCAACCACUCCGGUUCCACCCACAUCACCACCUACGUACAAACCUCCAACUGUUAAACCACCUACAACAACACCAGUUAAACCACCACCGGUUCAACCACCUUACAAACCCCCAACUCCACCGGUUAAGCCACCAACGUUAUCACCAGUCAAACCACCACCUGCCUACAAACCCCCUACACCAACGGUUAAACCACCAACAACACCAUCGGUUCAACCACCUAUGUACAAACCCCCAACGCCACCUGUUAAGCCACCCACGAUACCACCAGUCAAACCACCUACAGCGCCGGUUAAACCAACCCCAAUACCUCCAUAUAAGGCACCACCGGUCAAACCAACCCCACCACCGCCAGCUAAACCACCAG